UACAUGGGGUGCAAACGUUGCUCGGAAUUACUGGGCGUAAAGCGCGUGUAGGCUGCUUCGCAAGUCGGAUGUGAAAGCCCUGGGCUCAACCCAGGAAGUGCAUUCGAAACUGCAGAGCUGGAGUCCUGGAGAGGAAGGCGGAAUUCGUCGGUGUAGAGGUGAAAUUCGUAGACAUCGAGAGGAACACCGGUGGCGAAGGCGGCCUUCUGGACAGUGACUGACGCUGAGACGCGAAAGCGUGGGGAGCAAACAGGGAUUAAGAAACCCU
Molecule: ribosomal RNA, 268 nt
Filed under: uncultured bacterium
Lineage: Bacteria
Description: partial 16S ribosomal RNA
Rfam family: Bacterial small subunit ribosomal RNA
Source: RNAcentral